This 460-nucleotide ribosomal RNA is filed under the name uncultured bacterium. RNAcentral describes it as "partial 16S ribosomal RNA". It matches the Rfam family "Bacterial small subunit ribosomal RNA", at positions 338 to 795 of the family's 1533-position model. The record is from RNAcentral.
CCUACGGGUGGCAGCAGUGAGGAAUAUUGGUCAAUGGGCGUAAGCCUGAACCAGCCAUGUCGCGUGAGGGAUGAAGGUUCUAUGAAUUGUAAACCGCUUUUGUAAGAGGAUAAAGUGCGGGACGCGUCCCGUUUUGUAUGUAUCUUAUGAAUAAGGAUCGGCUAACUCCGUGCCAGCAGCCGCGGUAAUACGGAGGAUUCGAGCGUUAUCCGGAUUUAUUGGGUUUAAAGGGUGCGUAGGCGGUCGGUUAAGUUAGAGGUGAAAUCCUGUGGCUCAACCACGGAAUUGCCGUUGAUACUGGUAGGCUAGAGAAUGGUUGAGGCAGGCGGAAUGUAUGGUGUAGCGGUGAAAUGCUUAGAGAUCACGCAGAACCCCGAGUGCGAAGGCAGCCUGCCAAGCCAUGACUGACGUUGAGGCACGAAAGCGUGGGGAGCAAACAGGAUUAGAUACCCCUGUAGUC